Molecule: ribosomal RNA, 451 nt
Filed under: uncultured bacterium
Lineage: Bacteria
Description: partial 16S ribosomal RNA
Rfam family: Bacterial small subunit ribosomal RNA
Source: RNAcentral
AACGAACGCUGGCGGCAUGCCUAACACAUGCAAGUCGAGCGCCUGUAGCAAUACAGGAGCGGCGCACGGGUGAGUAACGCGUGGGAACCUGCCCUUAGGUUCGGAACAACCGCGGGAAACUGCGGCUGAUACCGGAUGAUGUCUUCGGACCAAAGAUUUAUCGCCUUUGGAGGGGCCCGCGUCGGAUUAGGUAGUUGGUGAGGUAACGGCUCACCAAGCCUGCGAUCCGUAGCUGGUCUGAGAGGAUGACCAGCCACACUGGGACUGAGACACGGCCCAGACUCCUACGGGAGGCAGCAGUGGGGAGUAUUGGACAAUGGGGGUAACCCUGAUCCAGCAAUGCCGCGUGGGUGAUGAAGGCCUUCGGGUUGUAAAGCCCUUUCGGCGGGGACGAUGAUGACGGUACCCGCAGAAGAAGCCCCGGCUAACUUCGUGCCAGCAGCCGCAGUAA